RNAcentral lists this ribosomal RNA (440 nucleotides) under uncultured bacterium. Its description in RNAcentral is "partial 16S ribosomal RNA". It matches the Rfam family "Bacterial small subunit ribosomal RNA", at positions 338 to 795 of the family's 1533-position model. The record is from RNAcentral.
CCUACGGGGGGCAGCAGUGGGGAAUAUUUGACAAUGGGGGGAACCCUGAUCCAGCGACGCCGCGUGAGUGAAGAAGUAUUUCGGUAUGUAAAGCUCUAUCAUCAGGGAAGAAAAUGACGGUACCUGACUAAGAAGCCCCGGCUAACUACGUGCCAGCAGCCGCGGUAAUACGUAGGGGGCAAGCGUUAUCCGGAUUUACUGGGUGUAAAGGGUCGUGGACGGGUGCAGCAAGUUUGAUGUGAAAGUCCGGGGCCCAACCCGGGGACUGCAUUGGAAACUGUUGAACUGGAGAACAGGAGAGGUAAGUGGAAUUCCUAGUGUAGCGGUGAAAUGCGUAGAUAUUAGGAGGAACACCAGUGGCGAAGGCGGCUUACUGGACUGUAACUGACGUUGAGGCUCGAAAGCGUGGGGAGCAAACAGGAUUAGAUACCCGAGUAGUC